RNAcentral lists this ribosomal RNA (460 nucleotides) under uncultured bacterium. RNAcentral's name for it is "partial 16S ribosomal RNA". It matches the Rfam family "Bacterial small subunit ribosomal RNA", at positions 338 to 795 of the family's 1533-position model. The record is from RNAcentral.
CCUACGGGAGGCAGCAGUGAGGAAUAUUGGUCAAUGGACGAGAGUCUGAACCAACCAAGUAGCGUGAAGGAUGACUGCCCUAUGGGUUGUAAACUUCUUUUAUAAAGGAAUAAAACGAGGCACGUGUGCCUUUUUGCAUGUACUUUAUGAAUAAGGAUCGGCUAACUCCGUGCCAGCAGCCGCGGUAAUACGGAGGAUCCGAGCGUUAUCCGGAUUUAUUGGGUUUAAAGGGAGCGUAGAUGGGUUGUUAAGUCAGUUGUGAAAGUUUGCGGCUCAACCGUAAAAUUGCAAUUGAUACUGGCAGGCUGGAGUACAGUUGAGGUAGGCGGAAUUCGUGGUGUAGCGGUGAAAUGCUUAGAUAUCACGAAGAACCCCGAUUGCGAAGGCAGCUUACUAAACUGUGACUGACAUUGAUGCUCGAAAGUGUGGGUAUCAAACAGGAUUAGAUACCCCUGUAGUC